UGGGGAAUUUUGGACAAUGGGCGAAAGCCUGAUCCAGCAAUGCCGCGUGCAGGAUGAAGGCCUUCGGGUUGUAAACUGCUUUUGUACGGAACGAAAAAGCUCCUUCUAAUACAGGGGGCCCAUGACGGUACCGUAAGAAUAAGCACCGGCUAACUACGUGCCAGCAGCCGCGGUAAUACGUAGGGUGCGAGCGUUAAUCGGAAUUACUGGGCGUAAAGCGUGCGCAGGCGGUUAUGUAAGACAGAUGUGAAAUCCCCGGGCUCAACCUGGGAACUGCAUUUGUGACUGCAUGGCUAGAGUACGGUAGAGGGGGAUGGAAUUCCGCGUGUAGCAGUGAAAUGCGUAGAUAU
RNAcentral lists this ribosomal RNA (350 nucleotides) under uncultured bacterium. Its description in RNAcentral is "bacterial SSU rRNA". It matches the Rfam family "Bacterial small subunit ribosomal RNA", at positions 355 to 697 of the family's 1533-position model. The record is from RNAcentral.